UAAUUUUUAGCUAAGCCAAGUUCGUUAGCUGGAUGAGAUUUGUUACCUUUGGUUCUUGUUAAUAUUUGCCUUAUUUGGUCCCUGCUGUUCUGCAACUGCAAAGGCAAAAUCAUUUGUUCUGCAACUGCAGCCUCUGCUAUUAGGGAUGCAGCCUCUACUAUUAGGGAUGGUAAUGUAUUAUGGGCCUUCUUCACAAUCCAACUUAGCUCUAUUUAUUUUUAGUUUAAAAUCAUAUAAUUUUAUAGCGUGGUCCUUAUUGAACCCGAUCCUUAAAUCCGUUAGGCUAAAUUAGAUGGCUCUUUUAUCACCCCUAGCUAUAGCACUUCUCUACACAACGGUCAAUGGUGUAAGUUCAAAGUGAGAUGUUUAUUAAGAGCUUCACAUAUGGAACAACGCUUAAUAAGAUUGCAAAAGCCCAAAGAAAGAUGCAUGUCAAUUAUAUUAUUUUACCUCUGCAGGUGCACAAUGCGGCGAGGAAAACCAUUUUCCCCAUUGCGAGUUCCCCCAAUGCCUGGAGUGUUAUGAACCGUUGGAUCGGCAGGCUGCGGUCACGAUUCGAUACGUCGAGGUUGAUGCGGCAGCGUCGCCGCUGGGCCAAGCCCAUCCGUCUUUAUUUCCCUCUCGCUCGUCGCCGAUUCCGGCCGCCACCAAUCCAUUCAUGACCUGAUUACUCGAUCGCCGGAGAAGGAAACGGAGGAAUCCGACAUUUGGCCGGUGAAAUCGAUCUAUGGUUGGAGAAUUGCCCGCUCGCACACGACCGCUCCGAUUCGAAAUCGGACAUUUGGGGGAUCCGAUCCGAUGUCGUUGCGCUUGGCGGCCUUCUCCACCUUCUUCUCCUCCCUCCCUCCCUCUGCACAUCUGCAGCAGCAGCAGCACAUGGAGAGCGAUCGACAGCCUCGCUGCGGUGCGGAGGCGGCUUCAGAAGGCUCUUCACUGCCUCCAUCCAUCUUCUCUACCCCGGCCGGCAGGCGGCAGUGGCAGUAGAUGCGGUCGCUGCGAUGUUGCUGGCAAGCCUGCAGCUGCACAGCAAUGAUGGCAGCUGGGCCCUUGUCUUGGGCUUUGCGACAAUCUUACUUAGGCCUUGUAACGGCCCAGGAGACGAAGCCCACCCAUGAAAAUAUACACGCUCUUACUCCAUUC
RNAcentral lists this long non-coding RNA (1140 nucleotides) under Setaria viridis. RNAcentral describes it as "long non-coding RNA (SVIR_LNC011491)". Lineage: Eukaryota; Viridiplantae; Streptophyta; Magnoliopsida; Poales; Poaceae. The record is from RNAcentral.